Molecule: ribosomal RNA, 303 nt
Filed under: uncultured bacterium
Lineage: Bacteria
Description: bacterial SSU rRNA
Rfam family: Bacterial small subunit ribosomal RNA
Source: RNAcentral
AUUGAACGCUGGCGGCAUGCCUUACACAUGCAAGUCGAACGGCAGCACGGGAGCAAUCCUGGUGGCGAGUGGCGAACGGGUGAGUAAUAUAUCGGAACGUGCCCGGUCGUGGGGGAUAACGUAGCGAAAGCUACGCUAAUACCGCAUACGAUCUACGGAUGAAANCGGGGGAUCGCAAGACCUCGCGCGAUUGGAGCGGCCGAUAUCAGAUUAGGUAGUUGGUGAGGUAAAGGCUCACCAAGCCGACGAUCUGUAGCUGGUCUGAGAGGACGACCAGCCACACUGGGACUGAGACACGGCCCA